Molecule: transfer RNA, 77 nt
Filed under: Mollicutes bacterium
Lineage: Bacteria; Bacillati; Mycoplasmatota; Mollicutes
Description: tRNA-Arg
Rfam family: tRNA
About the family: Transfer RNA (tRNA) molecules are approximately 80 nucleotides in length. Their secondary structure includes four short double-helical elements and three loops (D, anti-codon, and T loops). Further hydrogen bonds mediate the characteristic L-shaped molecular structure. tRNAs have two regions of fundamental functional importance: the anti-codon, which is responsible for specific mRNA codon recognition, and the 3' end, to which the tRNAs corresponding amino acid is attached (by aminoacyl-tRNA synthetases). tRNAs cope with the degeneracy of the genetic code in two manners: having more than one tRNA (with a specific anti-codon) for a particular amino acid; and 'wobble' base-pairing, i.e. permitting non-standard base-pairing at the 3rd anti-codon position.
Source: RNAcentral
GUCCUUGUAGCUCAGCUGGAUAGAGCGUUUGCCUCCGGUGCAAAAGGCCAGGGGUUCGAAUCCCUUCAAGGACACCA